GACGAACGCUGGCGGCGUGCUUAACACAUGCAAGUCGAACGGAAAGGCCCUGCUUUUGUGGGGUGCUCGAGUGGCGAACGGGUGAGUAACACGUGAGUAACCUGCCCUUGACUUUGGGAUAACUUCAGGAAACUGGGGCUAAUACCGGCAAGGAGCUCCUGCUGCAUGGUGGGGGUUGGAAAGUUUCGGCGGUUGGGGAUGGACUCGCGGCUUAUCAGCUUGUUGGUGGGGUAGUGGCUUACGAAGGCUUUGACGGGUAGCCGGCCUGGGAGGGUGACCGGCCACAUUGGGACGGAGAUACGGCCCAGACUCCUACGGGAGGCAGCAGUGGGGAAUAUUGCACAAUGGGCGGAAGCCUGAUGCAGCAACGCCGCGUGCGGGAUGACGGCCUUCGGGUUGUAAACCGCUUUCGCCUGUGACGAAGCGUGAGUGACGGUAAUGGGUAAAGAAGCACCGGCUAACUACGUG
Molecule: ribosomal RNA, 468 nt
Filed under: uncultured bacterium
Lineage: Bacteria
Description: partial 16S ribosomal RNA
Rfam family: Bacterial small subunit ribosomal RNA
Source: RNAcentral